CCCGGGUGGCUCGGCGUCACUUGUUACCCGAAACCGUCGGUACGCGGGGGGCGAAGUCUGAAGAAGGCUGCAACGAUCUCCCGGAUCCUGUGUGUCCUGACGUUGAAACCUCGUCCCAUGAGGUCGAUGGCCAGGGAUCAAAAUUCCGGAGGGAGUGGCGACCUGUCGCUGCGGGAACCGGUUCAGGCCCGGAAGGGAGCAGACUUACCGCAGACAUCCGGCGCCCAUGGGGUAACGGGGCGGAGGAUGGGUGCUUUGGUGAAAGGAGCAACGUACAGUCGACCGAUGAC
Molecule: signal recognition particle RNA, 290 nt
Filed under: Methanoregula boonei 6A8
Lineage: Archaea; Methanobacteriati; Methanobacteriota; Methanomicrobia; Methanomicrobiales; Methanoregulaceae
Rfam family: Archaeal signal recognition particle RNA
Source: RNAcentral